Molecule: non-coding RNA, 74 nt
Organism: Potamilus streckersoni
Lineage: Eukaryota; Metazoa; Mollusca; Bivalvia; Unionida; Unionidae
Source: the annotation of a GenBank genome assembly
GGUUGCAAAGCUUAGUUGGUCAAAGCAUCAUUCAAAUCAUGUGAAUGUCAUGGGUUCGAUCCCCAGUGUGACAA